This 274-nucleotide ribosomal RNA is filed under the name uncultured bacterium. RNAcentral's name for it is "partial 16S ribosomal RNA". It matches the Rfam family "Bacterial small subunit ribosomal RNA", at positions 523 to 796 of the family's 1533-position model. The record is from RNAcentral.
AGACGGAGGGCGCAAGCGUUGUUCGGAAUUACUGGGCGUAAAGCGCGCGUAGGCGGUUCGAUAAGUCUGAUGUGAAAGCCCUGGGCUUAACCUGGGAAUGGCAUUGGAUACUGUUGAACUAGAGUGCGGGAGAGGAGAGUGGAAUUCUCGGUGUAGCGGUGAAAUGCGUAGAUAUCGGGAGGAACACCAGUGGCGAAGGCGGCUCUCUGGACUGACACUGACGCUGAGGUGCGAAAGCGCGGGUAGCAAACAGGAUUAGAAACCCCGGUAGUCC